RNAcentral lists this ribosomal RNA (131 nucleotides) under uncultured Trebouxiophyceae. Its description in RNAcentral is "partial small subunit ribosomal RNA". It matches the Rfam family "Eukaryotic small subunit ribosomal RNA", at positions 1670 to 1804 of the family's 1831-position model. The record is from RNAcentral. Lineage: Eukaryota; Viridiplantae; Chlorophyta; Trebouxiophyceae.
CGCCCGUCGCUCCUACCGAUUGGGUGUGCUGGUGAAGUGUUCGGAUUUGGCGAGGGAGGGUAACCGACCUCGCCGGAGAAGUUCAUUAAACCCUCCCACCGAGAGGAAGGAGAAGUCGUAACAAGGUUUCC